RNAcentral lists this transfer RNA (76 nucleotides) under Chthonomonadales bacterium. RNAcentral's name for it is "tRNA-Met". It matches the Rfam family "tRNA". From Rfam's summary of the family: Transfer RNA (tRNA) molecules are approximately 80 nucleotides in length. Their secondary structure includes four short double-helical elements and three loops (D, anti-codon, and T loops). The record is from RNAcentral. Lineage: Bacteria; Bacillati; Armatimonadota; Chthonomonadia; Chthonomonadales.
GGGCCCGUAGCCUAGCGGUUAAGGCAGUCGGCUCAUAACUGAUUGAUCGUAGGUUCGAAUCCUACCGGGCCCACCC